AUUGAACGCUGGCGGCAUGCCUAACACAUGCAAGUCGAACGGUAGCAGGCCUUCGGGCGCUGACGAGUGGCGGACGGGUGAGUAAUACAUAGGAAUCUGCCUUUUAGUGGGGGAUAACCCGGAGAAAUCCGGGCUAAUACCGCAUACGCACUACGGUGGAAAGCAGGGGAUCGUAAGACCUUGCGCUAAUAGAUGAGCCUAUGUCGGAUUAGCUUGUUGGUAGGGUAAGGCCUACCAAGGCGACGAUCCGUAGCUGGUCUGAGAGGACGACCAGCCACACUGGGACUGAGACACGGCCCAGACUCCUACGGGAGGCAGCAGUGGGGAAUAUUGGACAAUGGGGGCAACCCUGAUCCAGCAAUGCCGCGUGUGUGAAGAAGGCC
This 383-nucleotide ribosomal RNA is filed under the name uncultured bacterium. RNAcentral describes it as "bacterial SSU rRNA". It matches the Rfam family "Bacterial small subunit ribosomal RNA", at positions 30 to 416 of the family's 1533-position model. The record is from RNAcentral.